The sequence is a transfer RNA, 72 nucleotides long. It matches the Rfam family "tRNA". From Rfam's summary of the family: Transfer RNA (tRNA) molecules are approximately 80 nucleotides in length. Their secondary structure includes four short double-helical elements and three loops (D, anti-codon, and T loops). The record is from Rfam.
GGUCGGUUGGCGCAAUGGUAGCGCGUGGCCCUCCUAAGGCCAAGGCUGCGGGUUCGAGUCCCGUGCUGAUCG